CAGCCGCCGCGGUAAUACGAAGGGUGCAAGCGUUAAUCGGAAUUACUGGGCGUAAAGCGUGCGCAGGCGGUUGUGUAAGACAGGUGUGAAAUCCCCGGGCUUAACCUGGGAACUGCGCUUGUGACUGCACAGCUAGAGUAUGGCAGAGGGGGGUGGAAUUCCACGUGUAGCAGUGAAAUGCGUAGAGAUGUGGAGGAACACCGAUGGCGAAGGCGGCCCCCUGGGCCAAUACUGACGCUCAUGCACGAAAGCGUGGGGAGCAAACAGGAUUAGAUACCCGCGUAGUCCCUGUCUCUUAUAA
RNAcentral lists this ribosomal RNA (301 nucleotides) under uncultured bacterium. RNAcentral describes it as "partial 16S ribosomal RNA". It matches the Rfam family "Bacterial small subunit ribosomal RNA", at positions 509 to 809 of the family's 1533-position model. The record is from RNAcentral.